UCCAGGCGUCGAGCGGCGGACGGGUGAGUAAUGCAUAGGAAUCUGCCCGAUAGUGGGGGAUAACCUGGGGAAACCCAGGCUAAUACCGCAUACGUCCUACGGGAGAAAGCAGGGGAUCUUCGGACCUUGCGCUAUCGGAUGAGCCUAUGUCGGAUUAGCUAGUUGGUGAGGUAACGGCUCACCAAGGCCGCGAUCCGUAGCUGGUCUGAGAGGAUGAUCAGCCACAUCGGGACUGAGACACGGCCCGAACUCCUACGGGAGGCAGCAGUGGGGAAUAUUGGACAAUGGGCGAAAGCCUGAUCCAGCCAUGCCGCGUGUGUGAAGAAGGCUUUCGGGUUGUAAAGCACUUUCAGUGGGGAAGAAAUCCUCGGGGCCAAUACCCUCGAGGGAGGACAUCACCCACAGAAGAAGCACCGGCUAACUCCGUGCCAGCAGCCGCGGUAAUACGGAGGGUGCGAGCGUUAAUCGGAAUUACUGGGCGUAAAGCGCGCGUAGGCGGCGUGAUAAGCCGGUUGUGAAAGCCCCGGGCUCAACCUGGGAACGGCAUCCGGAACUGUCAGGCUAGAGUGCAGGAGAGGAAGGUAGAAUUCCCGGUGUAGCGGUGAAAUGCGUAGAGAUCGGGAGGAAUACCAGUGGCGAAGGCGGCCUUCUGGACUGACACUGACGCUGAGGUGCGAAAGCGUGGGUAGCAAACAGGAUUAGAUACCCUGGUAGUCCACGCCGUAAACGAUGUCGACUAGCCGUUGGGGUCCUUGUGACCUUUGUGGCGCAGUUAACGCGAUAAGUCGACCGCCUGGGGAGUACGGCCGCAAGGUUAAAACUCAAAUGAAUUGACGGGGGCCCGCACAAGCGGUGGAGCAUGUGGUUUAAUUCGAUGCAACGCGAAGAACCUUACCUACUCUUGACAUCGUGCGAACUUUCCAGAGAUGGAUUGGUGCCUUCGGGAACGCACAGACAGGUGCUGCAUGGCCGUCGUCAGCUCGUGUUGUGAAAUGUUGGGUUAAGUCCCGUAACGAGCGCAACCCUUGUCCCUAUUUGCCAGCGAUUCGGUCGGGAACUCUAGGGAGACUGCCGGUGACAAACCGGAGGAAGGUGGGGACGACGUCAGGUCAUCAUGGCCCUUACGAGUAGGGCUACACACGUGCUACAAUGGCCGGUACAAAGGGUUGCGAAGCCGCGAGGUGGAGCUAAUCCCGAAAAGCCGGUCUCAGUCCGGAUCGGAGUCUGCAACUCGACUCCGUGAAGUCGGAAUCGCUAGUAAUCGUGAAUCAGAAUGUCACGGUGAAUACGUUCCCGGGCCUUGUACACACCGCCCGUCACACCAUGGGAGUGGACUGC
RNAcentral lists this ribosomal RNA (1338 nucleotides) under bacterium YC-LKJ25. RNAcentral's name for it is "bacterial SSU rRNA". It matches the Rfam family "Bacterial small subunit ribosomal RNA", at positions 83 to 1418 of the family's 1533-position model. The record is from RNAcentral.